This 459-nucleotide ribosomal RNA is filed under the name uncultured bacterium. RNAcentral's name for it is "partial 16S ribosomal RNA". It matches the Rfam family "Bacterial small subunit ribosomal RNA", at positions 338 to 795 of the family's 1533-position model. The record is from RNAcentral.
CCUACGGGUGGCAGCAGUGAGGAAUAUUGGUCAAUGGCCGGAAGGCUGAACCAGCCAUGCCGCGUGAAGGUCAGUGCCCUAUGGGCGUUAAACUUCUUUUGUUCGGGAGCAAUAAUGGUCUCGUGUGGCCCGCCGAUAGUACCCUAUGAAUAAGGAUCGGCUAACUCCGUGCCAGCAGCCGCGGUAAUACGGAGGAUCCGAGCGUUAUCCGGAUUUAUUGGGUUUAAAGGGAGCGUAGGUGGAUUGUUAAGUCAGUUGUGAAAGUUUGCGGCUCAACCGUAAAAUUGCAGUUGAAACUGGCAGUCUGGAGUACAGUAGAGGUGGGCGGAAUUCGUGGUGUAGCGGUGAAAUGCUUAGAUAUCACGAAGAACUCCGAUUGCGAAGGCAGCUCACUGGACUGCAACUGACACUGAGGCUCGAAAGUGUGGGUAUCAAACAGGAUUAGAUACCCGUGUAGUC